GGUUAAAAUGGCAGAUAAUGUAUAUAGAGUUAAGUUCUAUAAAAGAUUUAAAUCUUUUAAUAA
This 63-nucleotide transfer RNA is filed under the name Scolopocryptops sp. 1 YG-2013. RNAcentral describes it as "tRNA-Leu". The record is from RNAcentral. Lineage: Eukaryota; Metazoa; Arthropoda; Chilopoda; Scolopendromorpha; Cryptopidae.